GAAUGCAUUUCCAUCUUAUGAGUAGAAACAAACAAUAUUAGAGAGCAAAGACAUGGCUUUAAGUGGAAAAGUGGAGAGUGAAGUAGAGAUUCAAACACCUGCUGCUAAGUUCUAUAAUUUUUAUAGAAAGCAACUUGAACAUAUUCCUAAUAUAUCAACACACAUACAUGGAGCUAGAGUGCAUGAAGGUGAUUGGGAAAAUGUUGGUUCUGUCAAACAGUGGGAAUAUACAAUAGGUAAUUAAUAAUAUGUUUCAUAGCUUUAUUUUAUCUAUUGCUCAAAGGUAGUGUACAUAUUAUAAAACUUAGAUAAUUAUUAUUCUUCUCUCCCUUUUUUUAUUAUAAGCAUCAUAGUCAAUUCAAAAUUUAGCUAAUUAUUAUCGAUGUUGUAUCAGGCGAGUUGAUAACAUGACUUUGUACAUAAAUAAAACUUGAGUUUGAUUUCUGAUAUCGUCUUCAUCUAAAAUAUUGGAUGCAUGUCUCCGCUAUUAAAUCUAUGAUUAUUAUAUUAUCAUAGCAAAGUAAAAAGGGUCUUAGCCUUGUGGAUAUCCUUUGGAACACCUACGAUGCUCAAAGAAGAAAAAAAAACCAAUAUUGUCUUUUAUAUAAUAUUUUUUUUUGAAACAAUGUCUUUUAUAUAAUUAACCAACAUAAUGGAGUUGGGAUUCUCUCCAUUAAUGUGUCACUAAUGAUAGAUAUUUAGGUCUUAAUCUUUGAUAUAAUAGAGUUUGGCCGUUAACCGGUGCAUUAGAAAAAAAUUAUUUUAACGAUCACUCAUUUAAAUGAAUCUUAGUUAUAUCUCGAUAGAGAUUAUUUAGACUGAUCUUUUUGUCCUGAACAUUUCGGUACACAUUUUAGUGAGAUAUGUACCGGCAUACUGUCGAGCUGAAUAAUUUUAAUAAGUCCAGAUUUGAUGCAUGCCGUAAUAAAAUUAUGUAAAUUGAUCAAGUAAAUUAAAUAUGGGGCAUCAAAUUUAUUACGGGGGGUAUAUUAGACAAACAUAUAUACGUGCUAAUAGCAAAUAUUCCAAUCAAUAUUAUGCAAGCAAAUAUUUGGUCAAUCAUUAUUUUCAUAUUAUAAUUACAACAACCUACUAAAUUUGAAUAUAUUUAAACAAUUAUUUGUUUGAUUUCUUCAAAAGUAUCGUAAUCUGAAAAUUUGCUUGUGGAGAUAAUGUUUGUUUAGUUUGUUUGAUUAAGACAGAGUUUGUUUAGUUUGUUAUUCAAUUGGGUUAGUUAGUUACUAAGGGUUAACCAAAGUUACUUAUGGUUAACCAUGCUUGAGAUUCAAGUAAUCAUACAAUGGAAUGCAUUUCCAUCUUAUGAGUAGAAUGAAACAAUAUUAGAGAGCAAAGACAUGGCUUUAAGUGGAAAAGUGGAGAGUGAAGUAGAAAUUCAAACACCUGCUGCUAAGUUCUAUAAUUUUUAUAGAAAGCAACUUGAACAUAUUCCUAAUAUAUCAACACACAUACAUGGAGCUAGAGUGCAUGAAGGUGAUUGGGAAAAUGUUGGUUCUGUCAAAC
Molecule: long non-coding RNA, 1521 nt
Filed under: Trifolium pratense (red clover)
Lineage: Eukaryota; Viridiplantae; Streptophyta; Magnoliopsida; Fabales; Fabaceae
Description: long non-coding RNA (TPRA_LNC000374)
Source: RNAcentral